UGUGAUGAACACUGCCAUACAAGCAUACCU
This 30-nucleotide non-coding RNA is filed under the name Rattus norvegicus (Norway rat). Lineage: Eukaryota; Metazoa; Chordata; Mammalia; Rodentia; Muridae. The record is from RNAcentral.